AGAGUUUGAUCCUGGCUCAGAAUCAACGCUGGCGGCGUGCCUAACACAUGCAAGUCGAACGAGAAAGUGGAGCAAUCCAUGAGUAAAGUGGCGCACGGGUGAGUAACACGUGACUAACCUACCCUUGAGUGGGGAAUAACCUGGAGAAAUCUAGGCUAAUACCGCAUAACACCUACGGGUCAAAGGAGCAAUUCGCUUAAGGAGGGGGUCGCGGCAGAUUAGCUAGUUGGCGGGGUAAUGGCCCACCAAGGCGGUGAUCUGUAUCCGGCCUGAGAGGGCGCACGGACACACUGGAACUGAAACACGGUCCAGACUCCUACGGGAGGCAGCAGUGGGGAAUUUUGCGCAAUGGGGGAAACCCUGACGCAGCAACGCCGCGUGGAGGAUGAAGUCCCUUGGGACGUAAACUCCUUUCGAUCGGGAAGAUUAUGACGGUACCGAGAGAAGAAGCCCCGGCUAACUUCGUGCCAGCAGCCGCGGUAAUACGAGGGGGGCGAGCGUUGUUCGGAAUUAUUGGGCGUAAAGGGUGCGUAGGCGGUUCGGUAAGUCUUAUGUGAAAUCUUCGGGCUCAACUCGAAGUCUGCAUGAGAAACUGCCGGGCUUGAGUGUGGGAGAGGUGAGUGGAAUUUCCGGUGUAGCGGUGAAAUGCGUAGAUAUCGGAAGGAACACCUGUGGCGAAAGCGGCUCACUGGACCACAACUGACGCUGAUGCACGAAAGCUAGGGGAGCAAACAGGAUUAGAUACCCCAGUAGUCC
Molecule: ribosomal RNA, 756 nt
Filed under: uncultured bacterium
Lineage: Bacteria
Description: bacterial SSU rRNA
Rfam family: Bacterial small subunit ribosomal RNA
Source: RNAcentral